Molecule: ribosomal RNA, 253 nt
Filed under: uncultured bacterium
Lineage: Bacteria
Description: partial 16S ribosomal RNA
Rfam family: Bacterial small subunit ribosomal RNA
Source: RNAcentral
UACGAAGGGGGCUAGCGUUGUUCGGAAUUACUGGGCGUAAAGCGCGCGCAGGCGGUCCUUUAAGUCAGGGGUGAAAGCCCAGAGCUCAACUCUGGAACUGCCUUUGAAACUAGAGGACUUGGGUACGGGAGAGGUGAGUGGAAUUCCGAGUGUAGAGGUGAAAUUCGUAGAUAUUCGGAAGAACACGAGUGGCGAAGGCGGCUCACUGGCCCGUUACCGACGCUCAGGCGCGACAGCGUGGGGAGCAAACAGG